ACCUGAAAGGAGGCUGUAGUGAGGUGGGGGUUGGUCUCGUUUCCCAAGUAACAGGUGAUAGGACAAGAAGAAAUAGGCUCAAGUUGCACCAGGGAGGUUUAGAUUGAAGAUUAGGAAGAACUUUUUUUCACCAGGAGGGUUGUAAACACCAGAACUGGCUGCCCAGGGAGGUGAUGGAAUCUCUAUCCCUGGAGAUACUGAAAAGCCACGUAGAUGAGGUGCUGAGGGACGUGGUUCAUUGAUGGACUUGGCAGUGUGAGGUCUGUUGGAAGGUACUUGAUCCAUCCUGCUUUCGUCAAUCAGGCAAGGCAAACUGGCCAUAAAGAAGUGUGCAGAAAACAUGCCAGCCUGCUUGGGCAAUGUGGGACACCUUUAGGAGAUGCAAGACAAAAGACAAAAUGAAGCUACACGCUAGUGCCUUGUAGCUGGUGUGGUGAGGGGUGGCCACCAUGCUCUGCUGGCCAUGCUACUCUGAGCUCCAGGCAUCGCCAGCUCAGGAGCAAAGCUGGCAGAAGACUGUGCCUUGAUCUGCAGACAAGAUGGUGUCUUGCGCACCAAAGGGCAACGCUUGCUCUUGCCCAGCUCAACUUGCUUCUCCAUCAGCAGGCGGCAGUCCCAGCUUGCUCCUAGCAGAGGGCACACGCUCCAGACUUACACACUGGCCUGAGUUUGCUGGGCAGCAGCAACAGAAACAGGCAAAAAGCACAAACAGCAACAGCCUCAGCUUGUGUUUGACUCCGACUGUUUUGGUAGUUUCUCCUGAAUGAGGAGAUGAGGAGCUCCAUACUGCCUGGAGCAGAUCCCUUACUGACUCCCAGGAGCAUCAGCACCAGCAGAGCUCAAAUGGUUGGACCCUUUACCAGCUUUGCCCUGGAGGCAUCUGGAGAUGUACCUCUGAUGGGGCCUCCUGCACUAUGUGACCUUGAUCUCCCAUUCUUUGAAGAUAUAACUAAGGAAUUUAGAUUUAAAUUAAUCUUUUGGCACCAUCAGGUUCAGGACUUCCACUCUGAAGACUCAUGAGCUGCAUUAGGAUUAAAUCCCAUCAAGAACAGCAAUGCCUUUGCCGCUGGCUGCUCAUUCAGCUCCCAGCACCCCCGCUGUCACAAUGGCCAGUGCAGUGCCGGGGCUCCCACGGCUCAGAGGGCUCAGUGCCACCAAGCAGCCCGAUGGAGCUGGACUCAACAAGAGCAUGGGGCUGAAUGGCCUCGGGAAGUAUCUUCCAACCUAUUUCCCUCCGGUUCUGCUACCAAAAGCAACCUCAUGGAAAUAACAGCAAACUGAAAACUGCUGAGGAUAGUUGGAUCUCCUGUCUUCUGCUGUCCUCUGCUGUUGUUUCUGUGUAAUGUGGUCACGAAUAAGACUUUCUUCCAUCCCUAUCAGGAGUAAAAGUGACAGAGAAAAUGCACAAGAAAAGAAUCACUUUCUAGUAAAUUCUUUGGCAUACAUUAAGAACUGGGAUUUGCAGAGGUUUUACUUGGACUUUUGCACCUCUCUGGCUGAAGUCCAUUGGGAGCUGCAAGCCCAGCCAUGCCCACCACAGGCCAGAACCACCACAGCCACUUUGCAGCUGCUUAAAAGCAGCAUCAAAAAAGAAAUGCAGACAAACCCACACAUAGCAGUUCAGCACAUAGCUGAACUGAAACCUCUUGAACUUUGGGAAGAAUGUCUCAGGAUUUGGGUGCAGAUUUGUGCCUGAACUUUGUGCCUCUCAGCCGUCUCAAACACACAGUUUAAACUCUUCAGUAAUCUCUGAUCUUUCAGGGUUAAUGAUCAGAUGCAACUUUGAAGCUGCUGAACUCGUGAACCAGGAUGUGUUGGGAAAAGCUGAGGCAUGUAAAGAUUAGCCCUUUCUCAGGAGAAGAGUGUUAGCUGAAGUGAAAGGGAGGGUUUGCAUUUGGUGGGCAUUCUGCCGUUGGGAGUGAUGCCAAAGUCCUGCUCAUCUGUGGCAGCCCCUGUGCUUGAAGGAGCUCAAGCAGCUGUUCCCACUUUGGUUUCUCCAUGCUCAUACAGUGCUUUGAAAUCAGCUUUGGGCAUUAAUCUGUGGCUGCUGUGUUGUGGUAUGCAGGCUGGGGGUUUUUUUUAGUUUGUUUCAGUUCAAACGAGAUGAAGCCCAAUCAUUUAUUACAUCUUUUCUGCAAAGCAUCCCUCUUCCCUGCCUGCAACCCAGAAGCCAAGCCUGGGAGGAGGCAAGCAAGGGGCAGCUCUGCAAUGCCCACCCUGGGAUGCAUGACUGUGCCCAUUCCCACCCCCCUGGGCUGUGUGGCCGUGCCCAUUCCCACUCCCCUGGGCUGCUCCAGCCCAACACUGCUGGGCUAUGGCUGGCAGCUCCCACUCAAUGCCAGGGCAAACCCUGCUCUGAUUCAUUUGCCCCUCACUCCUCCCAGGCACAGAAAGUAUGUCUCAAAUUACUUCAAUUUUACAUAUUAUUAGCAUAUUACUCAGUAUUAAAACAUAAGCAGAGCAGCUCCAAUGGGAUGCAAGAUGUCCUUGUGUGAAAAUUCAUUUCUAGAAGAGAUACAUUUGAAAACUGUGUACUUCUCCAGAAGAAGAGAUUUUCUUCCCAUUUCUCUCCGGUAUAUUUUUAAGCUGAAUUGCCUAAAAUUUUAAAGGAAUAAUCUUUUCAAAGCCAUACUUGACCUGGCAUCAUGCCCAUCCUGUUGCCUCCUCAGCAAAUCUGGAUUUCACCAUGAAGUAACCUAAAUAAGAAGGGUAGUACAUUUGAGAAAACACUCAUAUAAAUUGAGAUUGAUGUAUUAAACGCCUGUAUCUUCUUCCUGCCACCCUAGUGCAGCCGUCACGCUUUGGUCAGGCUUUUAUGAUGAUUCAUAGGUAGAUAUGUAAGUUAGGGUAUGGAAGCUUGCUUAUUAAAACUUACAAUAUUAGUUAGAAAAUUGCACAUACAGUUUUAUGAAAACUGCUAGUCUUGUAAGCCCACAGAGCUAAUAGAAAGACACAGCUAUUUCUUGUAACAUAACUAUUGCUUAGCACUGAUAGUUUCCAGACUGGUAUGUACCUAAACGAAGUUACUAUUGCUUAGCAUUGAUAGUUUCAAGACUGAUAUGUAUCUAAAGAAAAUUAUUAUGGCAAAGCUAUUACAUUAGUUCUACAAUUGAACAUUUGGACAUUGUAUACCACUGAUAAUUACAAGGCUUGCUCAGCCCUAAACAAAACUGUUAUCUGGGAUGGCAGAGAUUUUAGACCAGUUUUCAUCCUGUCCAAGGACCCAGGAGUAAAGAUUCAUCACAAGGAAAUUUUGGGUCUUAAUCCGGAUUAACAGCAAUCCCUAAUGACCACUGAAGGAAGCAAGAGGACACCAAAAGAAACAUGACGGAGGCGUAACUUGAGUGGACCAGGACGGUACUACGGGUGGGCCCUUUCCUGGAAAUGUGAUGAAUAUUCAUGUUUGUUGUAAAUACAAGCUGAAAAUCCAAUGGCUGAGGUGGGCACGUUUGGUAAACAAAUCCCCCGUGUUCCCCAGCACUGCAAUAAAGAAUACCCGCUUAAUAGUCA
This is a long non-coding RNA of Colius striatus (speckled mousebird), 3510 nucleotides long. RefSeq lists it as uncharacterized. Lineage: Eukaryota; Metazoa; Chordata; Aves; Coliiformes; Coliidae. The transcript has 3 exons. The record is from RefSeq and is a predicted model, not a curated record.